CAUCUAUAAAAAGUGGAUCGCCAUGCAGAGCUGGGAGAUAUAGCAGCAACUAAUACCAGCUAAAACUUCUUCUCUUCAAGUUCAUAAUUUUUUCGUUCAUCUAGCUUCGCUCAAUCAACGAUGUCGGACAAGUGCGGCAACUGUGACUGCGCCGACAAGAGCCAGUGCGUGAAGAAGGGAAACGGCUACGGCCUGGUCAUCGUGGAGACCGAGAAGAGCUACAUAGAUACUGUUGUCAUGGAUUCUUCAGCAGCAGCCGAGCACGAUGGCAAGUGCAAGUGCGGUGCAAGCUGCACCUGCACAAGCUGCACAUGUGGUCAUUAAGCCCCCACCGAUGCAGGGCAUCUGUGUGGAAUUGUGAGAGUCAUGAAUAAUGUAAUUGUGGUCAAUAAUGUAUUGUGUCGUAGUACUAUGCGCUUUUUAUUUGUUAUGUGAGAUGUGUCUGUCAAUUGUCAAGUCAUCUUAAUUUCAUAGUCAUGAAUGGUCGGUCAUCUCUGUGGCCUUGUGUGGUUUAAUGGACCUCUAAUAUAUAUA
Juglans microcarpa x Juglans regia is the source of this 534-nucleotide long non-coding RNA. RefSeq lists it as uncharacterized. NCBI's taxonomy places the organism in Eukaryota, Viridiplantae, Streptophyta, Magnoliopsida, Fagales, Juglandaceae. The transcript is spliced from 3 exons. The record is from RefSeq and is a predicted model, not a curated record.